Bactrocera neohumeralis is the source of this 1987-nucleotide long non-coding RNA. RefSeq lists it as uncharacterized. The transcript is spliced from 2 exons. Lineage: Eukaryota; Metazoa; Arthropoda; Insecta; Diptera; Tephritidae. The record is from RefSeq and is a predicted model, not a curated record.
AUCAAUACUCAUUUCGAUUUAUGGUGAUUAAACACGAUUUUAUAUCGCAAUUUAAUUUAUUAUAAGAGCUAAUUUUUAAGCUAUUUUUACUGCACAGUCGGUGUGUUUCUAUUGUUUCACUUCUCUUGCUUUUCGUAGCCCCUACGAAUGGGAUAGACCAAAAAUGUAUUUACCGUUAGUUUUAUUGGUGUUUUAAGAAAUAGCCUUGAUACAAACAGUGGUAAAUUUCAAACUUUAAUUUUUUUAUUUUUGGCAUAUGAAAUCGACCAGAGUGCCACGUUGCGAAAAGAAGAAACGACUGGAGCGCUGUUGUUAACUCGGCUAUAAUUGCGUGAGCGGUGUCUACGUCAAUAAAGAAGAAGAGGUUGCUCAAAAAAUUACACCAAAACCAACUGUGGUCGCUAAAAUGGCAUUAUAAGAGUUAUACAAGUAUGUAAAAUAUAAUUAUAAUAUUUGAUUGAUUUAUUAUUUGUGUGGCUUUUUUUACAUUUAAUAGUAUAUAGGAGAAAGAGUUUGCGUUAAGUGCACUAAAGCUAUCACUUUUGGAAUAAUCCAUUUGACUUGAAAGCUUUCCCAGUUACUACGUCUAUUUUUUUACACCAUUCCUUUUAAUUUUGUAGCCUUCUAAUAGAACUCUAUCUUUGUUGGUAUAUGUACAUAUAUCUCAUCAAUUCGCACAUUUUUUGUUUUCAAAAUUUUCAAAUGUGCACUUUUUAACAGUUUCAAGCAAGGGCUUUAGCAGUAACUGGACAGUAGUAAACGAUAUUGAUGAAAUCCAACAAAGUCUCAAUACAAGAAAAAUUUGCUUUAAUAUGUAUGUGGAACAUUCCGAAUUGUGUCGGUGCAAUUGAUGGAAAAUAUGCUACUAUUAAGAGCCCCGUCAAUUCCAAUUCUAUGUUGUACAAUUAUAAAAAAUUUUAAAAUACCGUUUUAAUGGCUAAAUGUGAUGCAAGAUACCAUAUGUUUUCACCGGAGUUAGUAUUGACAGCUAUGAAAGACGGAGGUAUAGUCUUUAAAUUUUUUUAAUACAGUUAUUUCUUUUUCCAAGCGGACGCUGACCUCUUAACAGCACAAAAAGUUUUAAUUCAGCCCUGCCUCUACAUUUUUUUCCGCUUCUACCUAUCAAUGGGGUCGUCUUACGAACGCUCUUAAAGAUUCUACUUCAAAAAUUCCGAUUUUGAAACGGUUAUCGGACACUAGGUGGUCAGUCUGAGCUGAUGCUAAGAAGGCACUUUUAUAACGUGUCAUCAAAAAGUGGAUCAAAAAGCGGAGUGCCUUAAUAAAGCUUACGGACUACUUUCAACGAUGAAUAAGUUAGAAACGAGAAUAAUGACAAUUACGUGGAACGGAAUCCUAGAACGCUUGCAAGCGACUAGUGUUUCGCUGCAGUCGUUUGAUCAAGACCUUAAUACAGGAUACGCCCUUUAUGAAUAAUUAUAUGGCUACGUCGAAGCAAUCCACUUUUUCAGGUAUUGAGGCAACGGGUACUGUCUUCUUUAACUAAACGUAUGAAAGCAUAUCAUAACUAGUGUUUUUCGACAUUUCGACCCCUAAAAUCGCUUACAACAGAAGAGAUUUUGGAAAAAUCCUGGUCACGAAGAUGAUUUGGAGAACAGCUUAGGCAGCGAAUUAUGUAGUGCAGAUCGCAGAGCUGCUGAAAACAGAAGUGGCUACUGUUAUUGACAGCAAGAAACAGGAGCCUCUGGAACAGCAAUAUUAUAAACUUUUAUUAAAUAAUUCUUUAGAAUCGUGUUUCCCAAACUUAGAAAUUGCUUUGCCAAUUUACUUACCUCUCGUGAUCACUAACUGCAGUGGCGAACGUUUUUGUUCAACGAUAAAACGUAUUAAAAAUGAAUUAAGGAACACGAUGGGCAAAGAACGUCUUAAUCACAUUACUUUGUUGAAUAUAGAGCAUGACUUGCUUAAAGAGGUCGAUAUUGAAAGUAUUAUAACUAAAUUUGCCCAUAAUAAAUCCAGAAAACUUUAA